GUGGUGACUGUUUGAAGGAUAAUAAAAAUUUCCUUUCUUUCGAUCUACUUCCUAAAUGGAUAGCUGAGCUGGGAGAAGACUUGUUUUCCUAACAGCACAGACUAGCAAUACAAGAGCAUUUUCCAAGCAUAAAAUCACGAUGGAGAAAACCCUUAAUUCGCUGCUUGCAAGUUAAGCUUGUCAAGAAAAUUAGGAUGUGCUGCUGAUCCUAAUUAUCA
This 218-nucleotide long non-coding RNA is filed under the name Linum usitatissimum (flax). RNAcentral's name for it is "long non-coding RNA (LUSI_LNC002689)". Lineage: Eukaryota; Viridiplantae; Streptophyta; Magnoliopsida; Malpighiales; Linaceae. The record is from RNAcentral.